Molecule: ribosomal RNA, 466 nt
Filed under: uncultured bacterium
Lineage: Bacteria
Description: partial 16S ribosomal RNA
Rfam family: Bacterial small subunit ribosomal RNA
Source: RNAcentral
GAUGAACGCUGGCGGCGUGCUUAACACAUGCAAGUCGAACGGAAAGGCCCAAGCUUGCUUGGGUACUCGAGUGGCGAACGGGUGAGUAACACGUGGGUGAUCUGCCCUGCACUUCGGGAUAAGCCUGGGAAACUGGGUCUAAUACCGGAUAGGACCACAUUUUGGAUGGUGUGGUGGAAAGUUUUUCGGUGUGGGAUGAGCUCGCGGCCUAUCAGCUUGUUGGUGGGGUAAUGGCCUACCAAGGCGUCGACGGGUAGCCGGCCUGAGAGGGUGUACGGCCAAAUUGGGACUGGAAUACGGCCCAGACUCCUAGGGGAGGCAGCAGGGGGGAAUAUUGCACAAGGGGCGCAAGCCUGAUCCAGCGGCGCCGCGUGGGGGAUGACGGCCUUCGGGUUGUAAACGCCUUUCGCUAGGGACGAAGCGUUAUGUGACGGUACCUGGAGAAGAAGCACCGGCUAACUACGUG